CGCCUCUUGUCCAAAAAUAAGAGGUCCAGCCUGCCCAGUGACACAUGUUCAACGGCCGCGGUAUCCUAACCGUGCGAAGGUAGCGUAAUCACUUGUUCUUUAAAUGAGGACUAGUAUGAAUGGCAUCACGAGGGCUAUACUGUCUCCUUUUUCUAAUCAGUGAAACUAAUCUCCCCGUGAAGAAGCGGGGGUAAAACUAUAAGACGAGAAGACCCUAUGGAGCUUUAAAUUCUAACUCAAAUGCCUUCCACUCUUCUAACUUCCUAGUAUUACACACUAUUCUGGCAUAAUGAGGUAAAAUUUUAGGUUGGGGUGACCGCGGAGUACAAAAUAACCUCCACAUUGAAACAGGCCUAUAAGCUUCAAGAAAUGAAUUACAAUUCUAUUCAUUAAAAGAUUAACAUUUAUUGACCCAAAUUUUUGAUCAACGAACCAAGUUACCCUAGGGAUAACAGCGCAAUCCCCUUCAAGAGUCCCUAUCGCCAAGGGGGUUUACGACCUCGAUGUUGGAUCAGGGUAUCCCAGUGGUGCAGCCGCUACUAAUGGUUCGUUUGUUCAACGAUUAAAACCCUA
Molecule: ribosomal RNA, 573 nt
Filed under: Scinax cf. kennedyi AJC-2015
Lineage: Eukaryota; Metazoa; Chordata; Amphibia; Anura; Hylidae
Description: partial 16S ribosomal RNA
Rfam family: Bacterial large subunit ribosomal RNA
Source: RNAcentral